This 253-nucleotide ribosomal RNA is filed under the name uncultured bacterium. RNAcentral describes it as "partial 16S ribosomal RNA". It matches the Rfam family "Bacterial small subunit ribosomal RNA", at positions 524 to 776 of the family's 1533-position model. The record is from RNAcentral.
UACGUAGGUGGCAAGCGUUGUCCGGAUUUACUGGGCGUAAAGGGCGUGCAGGCGGUUUGUUAAGUGCAGGGUGAAAGCUCCCGGCUCAACUGGGAGAGGUCCUUGCAUACUGGCGAACUCGAGGGAGGCAGAGGAAGGUGGAAUUCCCGGUGUAGUGGUGAAAUGCGUAGAUAUCGGGAGGAACACCAGUGGCGAAGGCGACUUCCUGGCCUGUUCUUGACGCUGAGGCGCGAAAGCUAGGGUAGCAAACGGG